GGAAGUCCCCGUUGAAGGGUGUAGGCGUUGAGGAUGGCAGGCAAAUCCACCGUCCGAGCUGAACUUGAGAGUAUGGAGUCUUCUUCGGAAGAAUCCAAUAGUGUGGGUAAUCAUACUCCCGAGAAAAUCCGCUAAGCUUAACCCAUGCGGCACCCGUACCGCAAACGGACACACGUGGUCGGGUAGAACAUACUGAGGCGUUGAGAGAUUCAUGGUUAAGGAACUAGGCAAAUUGACCCUGUAACUUCGGGAUAAAGGGUCCUCGUGAAUAGCGAGGCGCAGAGAAUAGGUCCAGGCAACUGUUUAACAAAAACACAGGGCCGUGCAAACUCGAAAGAUGACGUAUACAGCCUGACACCCGCCCGGUGCCGGAAGGUUAAGAGGAGAUGUCACUCGCAAGAGGAAGCAUUGAAUUGAAGCCCCGGUAAACGGCGGCCGUAACAAUAACGGUCCUAAGGUAGCGAAAUUCCUUGUCGGGUAAGUUCCGACCUGCACGAAUGGUGUAAUGAUCCGGACGCUGUCUCAACCAUGAGCUCAGUGAAAUUGUAGUAUCGGUGAAGAUGCCGAUUACCCGCGAUGGGACGAAAAGACCCCGUGAACCUUUACUACAGCUUAGCAUUGACCUUGGUCAUCCGAUGUGUAGGAUAGGCCGGAGGCUUCGAAGCGGGAGCGCCAGCUUUCGUGGAGCCAUCCUUGAAAUACGGCCCUUUGGCUGUCUGAGGUCUAACGCGCGAUGCGCGGACACUGCUUGGUGGGUAGUUUGACUGGGGUGGUCGCCUCCAAAAGCGUAACGGAGGCUUCCAAAGGUGCCCUCGGGUCGAUUGGUAACCGACCUCAAAGAGUGCAAUGGCAUAAGGGCGCUUGACUGGGAGGCAGACAUGCCGAGCAGGCAGGAAACUGGGGCAUAGUGAUCCGGCGGAUGUGUAUGGAAACUCCGUCGCUCAAAGGAUAAAAGGUACUCCGGGGAUAACAGGCUGAUCCCCCCCAAGAGCUCAUAUCGACGGGGUGGUUUGGCACCUUGAUGUCGGCUCGUCACAUCCUGGGGCUGGAGAAGGUCCCAAGGGUUGGGCUGUUCGCCCAUUAAAGUGGCACGCGAGCUGGGUUCAGAACGUCGUGAGACAGUUCGGUCUCUAUCUAUCGUGGGCGUGGGAGUUUUGCGUGGUGCCGUCACUAGUACGAGAGGACCGUGAUGGACAGACCUCCGGUUUACCAGUUGUGCCGCCAGGCGCACCGCUGGGUAUCUGAGUCUGGAUUGGAUAAGCGCUGAAAGCAUCUAAGUGCGAAGCCAGCCGCAAGAUGAGAACUCCAUUGAGGGUCGUCAGAGACGAUGACGUUGAUAGGAUGCAGGUGUAAAGACAGCGAUGUCAAAGCCGAGCAUUACUAAUUGCCC
Molecule: ribosomal RNA, 1390 nt
Filed under: metagenome
Description: bacterial LSU rRNA
Rfam family: Bacterial large subunit ribosomal RNA
Source: RNAcentral